UACGUAGGGGGCAAGCGUUGUCCGGAAUUAUUGGGCGUAAAGAGCGCGUAGGCGGUCCGAUAAGUCGGCUGUGAAAGUCAGGGGCUCAACCCUUGGAAGCCGGCCGAUACUGUCGGACUAGAGUCCGGAAGAGGCGAGUGGAAUUCCCGGUGUAGCGGUGAAAUGCGCAGAUAUCAGGAAGAACACCCGUGGCGAAGGCGGCUCUCUGGGACGGUACUGACGCUGAGACGCGAAAGCGUGGGGAGCAAACAGG
This 253-nucleotide ribosomal RNA is filed under the name uncultured bacterium. RNAcentral's name for it is "partial 16S ribosomal RNA". It matches the Rfam family "Bacterial small subunit ribosomal RNA", at positions 524 to 776 of the family's 1533-position model. The record is from RNAcentral.